CCCAUUUGAAGACCCGGAUGACCCCAAGAAUAUACGCAAGACCAUUCAGGUGACAGGCUAUAGUAAAUGCUAUAGAUAUACCAUCCAAUGUCCGCUAGCAUUUCCCUUUCUCCAUAUCACUUUACCCUCAUUCCAGUCUCUUUUCACCUGCAGCAAAUAAUGCAAGUGCAAUACGAUAUACCAGAUUAUGUCCACAUAUCUACGGAAUGCAAGCAACUUAUCGCGCGUAUCUUUGUUGCCAAUCCAAUGAGGGUAAUUAUCUCAACAUGUACAUUACUCUCAUGAUACGUCUCAAUACAAGUGGUAUAGCAUGGACUGCUGUAAUGUUGUCGAUUUUUAUGCCAUAUUUUUUUACAACUAUUUCCAGAGAAUCACAAUGAAGGAAAUAAAGAGCCAUCCAUGGUUCCUAAAGAACCUGCCACGGGAACUCACUGAGACGGCACAAGCCAUGUACUACAGGAGAGAUAACAGGGUACCUUCUUAUUCAGAUCAAACAUCAGAAGAAAUCAUGAAGAUUGUCCAAGAUGCAAGGACCAUGCUGAAAUCAUCCAGAUCAGGUUACGUGUCGAGCACCGAGUGUUCGGAUGAGGAAGAAGAGAAGGAAGAGGAACGCAGACCAGAGGAG
RNAcentral lists this long non-coding RNA (625 nucleotides) under Setaria italica (foxtail millet). RNAcentral's name for it is "long non-coding RNA (SITA_LNC004116)". The record is from RNAcentral. Lineage: Eukaryota; Viridiplantae; Streptophyta; Magnoliopsida; Poales; Poaceae.